Molecule: unclassified non-coding RNA, 305 nt
Filed under: plant metagenome
Description: partial contains 5.8S ribosomal RNA, internal transcribed spacer 2, and large subunit ribosomal RNA
Rfam family: 5.8S ribosomal RNA (bases 1-105)
Source: RNAcentral
GAAAUGCGAUAAGUAAUGUGAAUUGCAGAAUUCAGUGAAUCAUCGAAUCUUUGAACGCACAUUGCGCCCGCCAGUAUUCUGGCGGGCAUGCCUGUUCGAGCGUCAUUUCAACCACCAAGCCCCCGGCUUGUGUUGGGGACCUGCGGCUGCCCGCAGGCCCUGAAAAACAGUGGCGGGCUCGCUGUCACACCGAGCGUAGUAGCAUACAUUCUCGCUCAGGGCGUGCUGCGGGUUCCGGCCGUUAAACGACCUUCAUAACCCAAGGUUGACCUCGGAUCAGGUAGGAAGACCCGCUGAACUUAAGC